This 470-nucleotide ribosomal RNA is filed under the name Pseudomonas sp. BG5. RNAcentral describes it as "Pseudomonas sp. BGM005 partial 23S ribosomal RNA". It matches the Rfam family "Bacterial large subunit ribosomal RNA", at positions 109 to 635 of the family's 2925-position model. Lineage: Bacteria; Pseudomonadati; Pseudomonadota; Gammaproteobacteria; Pseudomonadales; Pseudomonadaceae. The record is from RNAcentral.
GAGGACAAAACAGGUUUCUAGGUAUUGUUAUAAGGUAUCUGCACCUGAAUAAAAUAGGGUGUAAGAAGCGAACGCAGGGAACUGAAACAUCUAAGUACCUGCAGGAAAGGACAUCAACCGAGACUCCGCAAGUAGUGGCGAGCGAACGCGGACCAGGCCAGUGGCAAUUGUGAUUAAAGUGGAACGCUCUGGAAAGUGCGGCCGUAGUGGGUGACAGCCCCGUACGCGUAGAUAUCAUGAUUGUCCUAGAGUAGGGCGGGACACGAGAAAUCCUGUCUGAACAUGGGGAGACCACUCUCCAAGCCUAAGUACUCGUGCAUGACCGAUAGCGAACAAGUACCGUGAGGGAAAGGUGAAAAGCACCCCGACAAGGGGAGUGAAAUAGAACCUGAAACCGGAUGCCUACAAACAGUCGGAGGGGGCAACCCUGACGGCGUACCUUUUGUAUAAUGGGUCAACGACUUAGUGUA